ACGGGAUGGUCAGCGGCAGCUUGGUCUUCAUGCUCCCAGAGACGCUCAACGCCCGUCUGCCUGAAAACAUCUCCGACGUCGAGGAGGGAAGACACAGACAUAGUCAUGCAAAGGGAGAUGCAAAGAUUGAGAAGAAAAGAAGGUCUGCAGACUCGGCAGCCCCGCAGAACAGCUGAUCAGCUGAUGGUCCUGGCUGGUCACAUGAUGAACUGGUCCUGCAGUCUGCGGGGACUCUGCAGGAAUCGGUGCUUUAUGACUUGAUACAGAAUUAGUUUUUUAGUAAUUUCAGUCUUGUGUAAAGACGUGUUUUAAAACCUUGUAGCUGUCGAUGAUGUUCAGCUGACUGUAAGUUCUGAGCUCCAGGUGGUGGAUUCUCGCUGUCUGGGUUCAGGUACCUGCCACUUUGCACAGAAUUUACUGAUUUCAAAUUAAGACUAUGCAAAUAAAAUGUUUUGUGUA
Micropterus salmoides (largemouth bass) is the source of this 459-nucleotide long non-coding RNA. RefSeq lists it as uncharacterized. The record is from RefSeq and is a predicted model, not a curated record. The transcript has 2 exons. NCBI's taxonomy places the organism in Eukaryota, Metazoa, Chordata, Actinopteri, Centrarchiformes, Centrarchidae.